CGCAUCUGUGCAUGCAGCAUAUCAAUAAGCGGAGGAAAAGAAACUAACAAGGAUUCCCCUAGUAACGGCGAGUGAAGCGGGAAGAGCUCAAAUUUGAAAUCUUAAAGGGUUUCCCUUUACGAAUUGUAGUUUAAAGAAGUGUUUUCUGUUGAGGUUUUGGUAAAAGUUCUUUGGAAUAGGACAUCAUAGAGGGUGAGAAUCCCGUAUUUGACCUUUACUUUCAACUUUGUGAUACACUUUCAAAGAGUCGGAUUGUUUGGGAACGCAGUCCAAAAUGGGUGGUAAAUUUCAUCUAAAGCUAAAUAUUGGCGAGAGACCGAUAGCGAACAAGUACCGUGAGGGAAAGAUGAAAAGAACUUUGAAAAGAGAGUUAAACAGUACGUGAAAUUGUCAAAAGGGAAGCGUUUGACACCAGUGUUGUUUUUCUGAAAAUCAAUUAAAGAACUGUUUAUGCUAAGUUGUUUAGACUUUAUCAGCUAACUGUUUAGUUUUGAGCUUUUCUUUAAUGCACUUUUCAGUUAACAAGUCAACAUCAAUUUCUUUUGCUGUAAAAAAGCUUGAGGAAGGUGGCUUGAGAUUCGUCUUAAGUGCUUAUAGCCUCUUGCCUAUGCAGUCGGAGAGAUUGAGGUCUGCAGCGUAGAUCCUUCGGGGCUAAAUGCAUUUGUGCUAAGUUAUAGCAUUUUAUAGACAACUUGUUGACUAUGAUUUGUCUUGUAGCUUACUCGCUAUGUUAUUUUACCUACGCUUAGGAUGUUGAGCGCAUGUCUCUCUCU
RNAcentral lists this ribosomal RNA (773 nucleotides) under uncultured Neocallimastigales. RNAcentral's name for it is "partial large subunit ribosomal RNA". It matches the Rfam family "Eukaryotic large subunit ribosomal RNA", at positions 26 to 616 of the family's 3401-position model. Lineage: Eukaryota; Fungi; Neocallimastigomycota; Neocallimastigomycetes; Neocallimastigales. The record is from RNAcentral.